AGAGGAGUAGAUGUAGGUACAGUAGGUAAAAUAUAGUGAGCUGAAUAAAUAUAGAACAUGGCGGUCAGUCGGCAAGAUAGAGGGAUAUGCACGUGAGUGAAGCAGCACAGACUUCUUACUGUCUUUAGAUAUAGGACCAUCUUGUACACCGCUAUCUGAAUAUACGGAGGUAGAUGAUCCGUUUUCUCUCAAGGUAAUAUCGUUGUUGGUUGUAAUAAAUGUGUAAGGUAUAAUAGCAUCUUUGAUGUACCAAUCUUUAUAACUAUAGACCUAUAAGUUAAGUUUAGGUGCAGACUAUAGGACAGUAGUAGUGUAUUCCUAUGUAAGUAAGUCAUUAUACUAUAUGUAUGCUCAAGUACUAAUGGAUAGAGACAUGGCUCCAGAGUAGUACAAAAGGUGCCUUUGGUAGAUAGAAUUUAUAAGUAAAGGAGUUAGAAUUCAAUCCCUGCUUGAAAGUAAUCGAGCCUGCAACGACAGACGU
This 481-nucleotide ribosomal RNA is filed under the name Degeeriella fulva. RNAcentral's name for it is "partial 12S ribosomal RNA". The record is from RNAcentral. Lineage: Eukaryota; Metazoa; Arthropoda; Insecta; Psocodea; Philopteridae.